UUACUGUGAAAUGCUUACUUACGAGCCCUUAACCAACAAUGCAGAGUUUAAAAAAAACAACGACAGACGGGACAUCUGCUCUACCACAGACACACAUAAACGCAGGUCAGUGACAGAAGUGGUACAGUGAAAGAGAACGAGGAAUCUGGCUCUAGGUGGGGUUUUAAAGAGCUGAAAUGUAAAUACAGAGUCCUUGGUCUGGCUAAUCACUUGAAAGCAUCUCACUAAUGUGUCCUGGCCUGCAUCAUCGGCUCAUCUGCUAUCCCUUAGACCUGGAGACUUCCCUCACCAGGCAUAGUAUGGUGCCAUGACUCCUGGCUCCUGUCCUGAAGCAUCCAAACAUUUAAGCAAUAAGGCCUGAGGUGGU
RNAcentral lists this long non-coding RNA (367 nucleotides) under Salmo salar (Atlantic salmon). RNAcentral's name for it is "lncRNA (ENSSSAG00000084164.1)". Lineage: Eukaryota; Metazoa; Chordata; Actinopteri; Salmoniformes; Salmonidae. The record is from RNAcentral.